RNAcentral lists this ribosomal RNA (497 nucleotides) under uncultured bacterium. Its description in RNAcentral is "partial 16S ribosomal RNA". It matches the Rfam family "Bacterial small subunit ribosomal RNA", at positions 28 to 507 of the family's 1533-position model. The record is from RNAcentral.
GAUGAACGCUGGCGGCGUGCCUAAUACAUGCAAGUCGAGCGAACAGACGAGGAGCUUGCUCCUCUGACGUUAGCGGCGGACGGGUGAGUAACACGUGGAUAACCUACCUAUAAGACUGGGAUAACUUCGGGAAACCGGAGCUAAUACCGGAUAAUAUAUUGAACCGCAUGGUUCAAUAGUGAAAGACGGUUUUGCUGUCACUUAUAGAUGGAUCCGCGCCGCAUUAGCUAGUUGGUAAGGUAACGGCUUACCAAGGCAACGAUGCGUAGCCGACCUGAGAGGGUGAUCGGCCACACUGGAACUGAGACACGGUCCAGACUCCUACGGGAGGCAGCAGUAGGGAAUCUUCCGCAAUGGGCGAAAGCCUGACGGAGCAACGUCGCGUGAGUGAUGAAGGUCUUCGGAUCGUAAAACUCUGUUAGUAGGGAAGAACAAAUGUGUAAGUAACUAUGCACGUCUUGACGGUACCUAAUCAGAAAGCCACGGCUAACUACGUG